Molecule: transfer RNA, 67 nt
Filed under: Idris sp. MM-2013
Lineage: Eukaryota; Metazoa; Arthropoda; Insecta; Hymenoptera; Scelionidae
Description: tRNA-Leu
Source: RNAcentral
CUUAAUAUGACAGAAAUUGUAAUAAACUUAAAAUUUAUUCAUAAAAUAUUUUAUAUUUUUAUUAAGA